UGAAAUACUGUUGGGAGACAGAGCAGCGUCAGGUUCAGGUUCCAACUCCAAACCUUUGCAAGAGACCAGUCCAGCUGGGGUCUACCUGAGCUCACUGAUGUUCAGGGGUUUUCAUCCAGGUCCACACUGAACUUUCUAUCCUUAGAGAAAACUUAAGCUGCAGAAGCAUUUCUAGUUGUACCUUGUAUCACCCCUGCUCUUAGAGUCUCUUGCCUGUGACUGCUGUAUUGGCCCUGCUUAGCCUGAUGGAGUCUUUGCCUCCUCUGUGGGAGACUGAACCUGGCCUCCUGGGGUCUCAAUUCUACUUGUCCCAGGAAGGCUGAAAGAAGAAGGGCCCCAGGCUGAGGAGGACUUAACUUAAUGCCCAGGGAACACUUGGGAUGACUGAAGGCCCAGCCAUGAGUCUCCCCUUCGGCCUCAUCAUCUUUCCUGGCUUCAGUGAAUCACUUCUCAAAGAGCUCUGGGCUGUGUUCCAAUUUUGUCCUUCUGGGUUACAUGGGUUUGCCCUGCUGAGGCAGGCACUAGAGGGGCCUACUUAGUUCUGGGAGCACUUCCUGGCACUACGAAUAGUAUCUGUCAUACCUGGUCACAAGUAACUGCUCAGCCCCCACCUUCUUCUGCUGGGGUCUGUGGUCUUGUAUACAAAAAUAAGCUCUGAUGUUGAGCAGAGGUCCUAAUCACUGGAAACAGCAGAUUCUCAGCAAAAGACAACAUCUUGCCAGUCAUUUGUUUAUCUCUUCAAGCCUAAGCUGUAUGAUAUUUAAUUCCCAUCAUACAUUAAAACAGCUCACAUCAAAAAACACACAUAAUUAAUAUGUAGUCAGACUAAUACUUAAAUACUAUAUAUCAGAGGCAUUAUACUUAAACCACAAUGUCUUCCUGAACAAGACUGGGAAUGCACAAAACGACUUAUUUUUCCCUUUUAUAAUGAUGCAGUGACUCACACCAAAUAGAAAAUUAUUAGUUUUUCAUCCUAAACCAUGAAAUAUUGCCUCCAUCAGUAAAGUAUAAUAUUGUGAUGUCAUAAGCUUUUUCUAAACACCGAAUUUGCCCUUAUUCCCUCUCAAUCAUUUUAAAAGCACUGCUCUCUUUCAUAGAGCUUGGGUUUAAAUCCCAAUAACACCGAGGGAAGAUGAAUGGCAGUGCUAUUGAAUGUGGCUAAAAUUGGAUACUUCAGCACAGCUCUGAAGAGGGAAAUAAUCCCGCCCAAGGAAGCGCUGAGAAUUAAAUGCGGUGGUGUUUGAAGACUUGCAAAGCACACAUCCUGUAGCCACUGCAGGCACAGCAUCCGACAGUAAUGCGCAGCUCUGCAGCUCUGCAGCUCGCCGGCCACCACGCCCUCCACCACCAUCACAGUGAUCAGGCUGGCUACAAACGAGAUCUGCCAAUCUAUACAGAAACACAAACACUGCAUGCCCGGGCUCUCCGAGGGGCUGGAACUCCAUGCUGGGCACCCUUUGUAGAUCACAAGUUCCCAUGAACAAUCUAGCAAGCCACCCAAAGUCAUAGAGUACAAAUUAAAUUGACAAGCAAAACUAACAGAUCCAUGGAGACAGUCUAAAAUAUUAUGGGCUUCACAAUCUGAAGCAGAAUGGAUAUUUUAAUGGAGAAGAUUAAAGUUAGAGGCACCAAAUUCUUCCAGUAACUGACAAAGCAUCCUGGAGUGAUGUGCCAAUUACUUUAUAUGGUCCUCUCGUGUAUUCAUUUGUCUGAAUGCAUGUAUUUAUGUCUGUAAUAAGUAAGGAGAGGCUUGAAUAAAAUACUUUUCUAAAAAUAAA
Peromyscus leucopus (white-footed mouse) is the source of this 1778-nucleotide long non-coding RNA. RefSeq lists it as uncharacterized. The record is from RefSeq and is a predicted model, not a curated record. Lineage: Eukaryota; Metazoa; Chordata; Mammalia; Rodentia; Cricetidae. The transcript has 2 exons.